Molecule: ribosomal RNA, 397 nt
Filed under: uncultured bacterium
Lineage: Bacteria
Description: partial 16S ribosomal RNA
Rfam family: Bacterial small subunit ribosomal RNA
Source: RNAcentral
AUACGUAGGGGGCGAGCGUUGUCCGGAAUGAUUGGGCGUAAAGGGCGCGUAGGCGGCCCGGUAAGUCUGGAGUGAAAGUCCUGUUUUUAAGAUGGGAAUUGCUUUGGAUACUGUCGGGCUUGAGUGCAGGAGAGGUAAGUGGAAUUCCCAGUGUAGCGGUGAAAUGCGUAGAGAUCGGGAGGAACACCAGUGGCGAAGGCGGGUAACUGGACUGCAACUGACGCUGAGGCGCGAAAGUGUGGGGAGCAAACAGGAUUAGAUACCCUGGUAGUCCACACUGUAAACGAUGAAUGCUAGGUGUAAGAGGUAUCGACCCCUUUUGUGCCGGAGUCAACACAAUAAGCAUUCCGCCUGGGGAGUACGGACGCAAGGUUGAAACUCAAAUGAAUUGACGGGG